Molecule: long non-coding RNA, 1441 nt
Filed under: Phoenix dactylifera (date palm)
Lineage: Eukaryota; Viridiplantae; Streptophyta; Magnoliopsida; Arecales; Arecaceae
Description: long non-coding RNA (PDAC_LNC014667)
Source: RNAcentral
AAAAGAAUUAGUCGUCCAACGCUAUGUUAACAAAUACGUGAAAAGUUUUAUUAUUCGGUACACUUCAACAAGUUCCUUAUCAAUAGGUUUCGGAGAAAGGGAAAAAUGAGCAAUGAUUGCUCGACGAUCUUCAUGAGACUAGACUUGGUGAAUCAUUCUGAAGAGACUACUGAAAUAAAUGCUAUGAAAUUUUGAUUCCAACUAAUGUCAACCUAUUUAACAAUCUAAACUCUAUAUCCUUUUUGGACCUUUCCUUGAAUCCGGAGUUGAACAAAUCUUUUACUUGCAAAAACUACAUCUACAAUUUUACUUCUAAUGAAGUGACACCAUUAUGGAUGGUUUAAGUGUGUUGUUUAGCACCUUUCCCUUUACCAAAAACAACCUAGUGUAUGGGCCAAAAAGAUUUCAUCCCUCUAUACCUCUUGAUACAAUGCAUUCUUUCAAUUAGGAAAGAGCUCUGCCGUAUUAGGCAGAAAAUCAAUUCACUUAUCGUAUUAAGUAGUUUAUCUCUUUACAUAUUGCAUGUAUACUAGGCUGGAAAUCCCAACCAUGAAGACCAAGAAAUGAUGGUCAUCUCUAAAUAUAAAUAGUUUAGGAUCAUAAGAAUUGACUGUGAUAAUAUUCUUCUUCUUGUAAAUCGAAAGUGUAUGGAAUUUGUUUGUUAAUUUUAUUUAUCAUGCUACUCCAAUUUCCCUUGAUUAUUUGCAAGGAUGUUGAUGUUCGGUCAUUGUUGACUAUCCCCUAUUGACUUGUGCCUUAAGGGUUCUCCUGCUGUUGUAUUGCUUUACAUGGAUGACAUUAUUUGCAUCUAAUAAUGAUUACAAUGCCAAUACUAUUCUUAGGACCUUUGUCCCUGAAUCUUGUAGAAGAUCUUGUAGCACUCAAAUAUCUGAGAGGCAGAGGUUUUUUCACUUCAGUUCUGACAUGUGCAAUUUAAUACACUUCAGACACUUAUUUUAGUACUCGAACAGUUCUGCAUGCUGCCCUUCCUGCUAACAUUACAUUGGUUGUGUUAUUCCAUGUUCCCAUUAUUUUUGCAGAAAUUCUGCAAUUUGUCCAUAUUCUCGGAUAGUAUUACGUUAACUUAACACACUUUAUCCUACUGCUGGAUCAUGGUUUCUCUGCUAUCUUAAAGGCUCGGUUAGACAAGACUUGUUUUCUCCUUCCCAUAAUCCUUUUGAAAUAAAGAAAUCUAUAAUGCUACGUAAGAUAGAUAUUGCUCGAUCAGUUCAGUGAUGGUAUAUUGCAUGAUUUGGUUAACUUCAUUAUUUUUUGAAAACCAUAGUCAAAAGAUAAUUGCUCAUGGUGUGGCAAAGGGGUAGUCACAAACCAUGGUAUUUGUGUGUUAUGAGCUUACAUAUCCUUUUACUUGCUGCAUGAUUUAAGUGUUUGACACACUCUUCUUGUCCUGCUUUCUAUUGUCGAUGAAGGUGCUUAUUGC